GGGUUCUUAGCUCAGCUGGUUCAGAGCACCUGCCUUACAAGCAGGGGGUCACUGGUUCGAAUCCAGUAGGACCCAC
This 76-nucleotide transfer RNA is filed under the name Capnocytophaga catalasegens. RNAcentral's name for it is "tRNA-Val". It matches the Rfam family "tRNA". Rfam says of the family: Transfer RNA (tRNA) molecules are approximately 80 nucleotides in length. Their secondary structure includes four short double-helical elements and three loops (D, anti-codon, and T loops). Further hydrogen bonds mediate the characteristic L-shaped molecular structure. tRNAs have two regions of fundamental functional importance: the anti-codon, which is responsible for specific mRNA codon recognition, and the 3' end, to which the tRNAs corresponding amino acid is attached (by aminoacyl-tRNA synthetases). tRNAs cope with the degeneracy of the genetic code in two manners: having more than one tRNA (with a specific anti-codon) for a particular amino acid; and 'wobble' base-pairing, i.e. permitting non-standard base-pairing at the 3rd anti-codon position. The record is from RNAcentral. Lineage: Bacteria; Pseudomonadati; Bacteroidota; Flavobacteriia; Flavobacteriales; Flavobacteriaceae.